This 157-nucleotide ribosomal RNA is filed under the name Thanatephorus sp. Its description in RNAcentral is "5.8S ribosomal RNA". It matches the Rfam family "5.8S ribosomal RNA". Rfam says of the family: 5.8S ribosomal RNA (5.8S rRNA) is a component of the large subunit of the eukaryotic ribosome. It is transcribed by RNA polymerase I as part of the 45S precursor that also contains 18S and 28S rRNA. Lineage: Eukaryota; Fungi; Basidiomycota; Agaricomycetes; Cantharellales; Ceratobasidiaceae. The record is from RNAcentral.
UAAUUUUCAACAACAGAUCUCUUGGCUCUCGCAUCGAUGAAGAACGCAGCGAAAUGCGAUAAGUAAUGUGAAUUGCAGAAUUCAGUGAAUCAUCGAAUCUUUGAACGCACCUUGCGCUCCUUGGUAUUCCUUGGAGCAUGCCUGUUUGAGUAUCAUG